CGGAGAAUUUUAUUUCGGUGAAAUUCUUAGUGGCGAACGGGUGAGUAACGCGUAGACAACCUACCUCUCUGAUGGGGACAACAUCGCGAAAGCGGUGCUAAUACCGAAUGAUGUAACUUUUCUGCAUGGAAGAGUUACCAAAGGCGGCCUCUAUUUAUAAGCUGUCACUGAGAGAUGGGUCUGCGUCUGAUUAGCUAGUUGGUGGGGUAAUGGCCCACCAAGGCGACGAUCAGUAGCCGGUCUGAGAGGAUGAACGGCCACAUUGGGACUGAGACACGGCCCAAACUCCUACGGGAGGCAGCAGUGGGGAAUCUUCCGCAAUGGACGAAAGUCUGACGGAGCAACGCCGCGUGAGUGAAGAAGGUUUUCGGAUCGUAAAGCUCUGUUGUUUGAGACGAAUGUGCAAUUUUUGAAUAAGGAAUUGUAAUGACGGUAUUAAACGAGAAAGCCACGGCUAACUACGUGCCAGCAGCCGCGGUAAUACGUAGGUGGCAAGCGUUGUCCGGAAUUAUUGGGCGUAAAGGGAGCGCAGGUGGGAAAGUCAGUCGAUUUUAAAAGUGCGGGGCUCAACCCCGUGAGGGAAUCGAAACUACUUUUCUUGAGUGCAGGAGAGGAAAGCGGAAUUCCUAGUGUAGCGGUGAAAUGCGUAGAUAUUAGGAGGAACACCAGUGGCGAAGGCGGCUUUCUGGACUGUAACUGACACUGAGGCUCGAAAGCCAGGGGAGCGAACGGGAUUAGAUACCCCGGUAGUCCUGGCCGUAAACGAUGGAUACUAGGUGUGGGAGGUAUCGACCCCUUCCGUGCCGGAGUUAACGCAAUAAGUAUC
Molecule: ribosomal RNA, 826 nt
Filed under: uncultured Veillonellaceae bacterium
Lineage: Bacteria; Bacillati; Bacillota; Negativicutes; Veillonellales; Veillonellaceae
Description: bacterial SSU rRNA
Rfam family: Bacterial small subunit ribosomal RNA
Source: RNAcentral